RNAcentral lists this transfer RNA (73 nucleotides) under Spirochaetota bacterium. Its description in RNAcentral is "Spirochaetes bacterium tRNA-Glu". It matches the Rfam family "tRNA". Rfam says of the family: Transfer RNA (tRNA) molecules are approximately 80 nucleotides in length. Their secondary structure includes four short double-helical elements and three loops (D, anti-codon, and T loops). The record is from RNAcentral. Lineage: Bacteria; Pseudomonadati; Spirochaetota.
GUCCUCGUGGGGUAGUGGUUAUCCCAUCUGAUUCUCAGUCAGAAGAUCGUGGGUUCGAAUCCCACCGAGGAUA